GAUCCUGGCUCAGGAUGAACGCUAGCUACAGGCUUAACACAUGCAAGUCGAGGGGCAGCAUGGUCUUAGCUUGCUAAGGCCGAUGGCGACCGGCGCACGGGUGAGUAACACGUAUCCAACCUGCCGUCUACUCUUGGACAGCCUUCUGAAAGGAAGAUUAAUACAAGAUGGCAUCAUGAGUCCGCAAUGUUCACAUGAUUAAAGGGUAUUCCGGUAGACCGAUUGGGGGA
This 230-nucleotide ribosomal RNA is filed under the name uncultured bacterium. Its description in RNAcentral is "partial 16S ribosomal RNA". It matches the Rfam family "Bacterial small subunit ribosomal RNA", at positions 15 to 231 of the family's 1533-position model. The record is from RNAcentral.